RNAcentral lists this ribosomal RNA (838 nucleotides) under Salmonella enterica. RNAcentral's name for it is "bacterial LSU rRNA". It matches the Rfam family "Bacterial large subunit ribosomal RNA", at positions 430 to 1269 of the family's 2925-position model. The record is from RNAcentral. Lineage: Bacteria; Pseudomonadati; Pseudomonadota; Gammaproteobacteria; Enterobacterales; Enterobacteriaceae. RNAcentral also lists the same sequence under 1 other name.
UAUCCUGUCUGAAUAUGGGGGGACCAUCCUCCAAGGCUAAAUACUCCUGACUGACCGAUAGUGAACCAGUACCGUGAGGGAAAGGCGAAAAGAACCCCGGCGAGGGGAGUGAAAAAGAACCUGAAACCGUGUACGUACAAGCAGUGGGAGCACCCUUUGGGUGUGACUGCGUACCUUUUGUAUAAUGGGUCAGCGACUUAUAUUCUGUAGCAAGGUUAACCGAAUAGGGGAGCCGGAGGGAAACCGAGUCUUAAUUGGGCGUUAAGUUGCAGGGUAUAGACCCGAAACCCGGUGAUCUAGCCAUGGGCAGGUUGAAGGUUGGGUAACACUAACUGGAGGACCGAACCGACUAAUGUUGAAAAAUUAGCGGAUGACCUGUGGCUGGGGGUGAAAGGCCAAUCAAACCGGGAGAUAGCUGGUUCUCCCCGAAAGCUAUUUAGGUAGCGCCUCGUGAAUUCAUCUCCGGGGGUAGAGCACUGUUUCGGCUAGGGGGCCAUCCCGGCUUACCAACCCGAUGCAAACUGCGAAUACCGGAGAAUGUUAUCACGGGAGACACACGGCGGGUGCUAACGUCCGUCGUGAAGAGGGAAACAACCCAGACCGCCAGCUAAGGUCCCAAAGUCAUGGUUAAGUGGGAAACGAUGUGGGAAGGCCCAGACAGCCAGGAUGUUGGCUUAGAAGCAGCCAUCAUUUAAAGAAAGCGUAAUAGCUCACUGGUCGAGUCGGCCUGCGCGGAAGAUGUAACGGGGCUAAACCAUGCACCGAAGCUGCGGCAGCGACACUGUGUGUUGUUGGGUAGGGGAGCGUUCUGUAAGCCUGUGAAGGUGUGUCGUGAGGC